RNAcentral lists this ribosomal RNA (429 nucleotides) under Pseudomonadota bacterium. RNAcentral describes it as "Proteobacteria bacterium partial 16S ribosomal RNA". It matches the Rfam family "Bacterial small subunit ribosomal RNA", at positions 355 to 776 of the family's 1533-position model. The record is from RNAcentral. Lineage: Bacteria; Pseudomonadati; Pseudomonadota.
UGGGGAAUAUUGGACAAUGGGCGAAAGCCUGAUCCAGCCAUGCCGCGUGUGUGAAGAAGGUCUUCGGAUUGUAAAGCACUUUAAGUUGGGAGGAAGGGCAGUAAGCGAAUACCUUGCUGUUUUGACGUUACCGACAGAAUAAGCACCGGCUAACUCUGUGCCAGCAGCCGCGGUAAUACAGAGGGUGCAAGCGUUACUCGGAAUUACUGGGCGUAAAGCGCGCGUAGGUGGUUCGUUAAGUUGAAUGUGAAAGCCCCGGGCUCAACCUGGGAACUGCAUCCAAAACUGGCGAGCUAGAGUAGGGCAGAGGGUGGUGGAAUUUCCUGUGUAGCGGUGAAAUGCGUAGAUAUAGGAAGGAACACCAGUGGCGAAGGCGACCACCUGGGCUCAUACUGACACUGAGGUGCGAAAGCGUGGGGAGCAAACAGG